RNAcentral lists this transfer RNA (86 nucleotides) under Kouleothrix aurantiaca. It matches the Rfam family "tRNA". From Rfam's summary of the family: Transfer RNA (tRNA) molecules are approximately 80 nucleotides in length. Their secondary structure includes four short double-helical elements and three loops (D, anti-codon, and T loops). Further hydrogen bonds mediate the characteristic L-shaped molecular structure. tRNAs have two regions of fundamental functional importance: the anti-codon, which is responsible for specific mRNA codon recognition, and the 3' end, to which the tRNAs corresponding amino acid is attached (by aminoacyl-tRNA synthetases). tRNAs cope with the degeneracy of the genetic code in two manners: having more than one tRNA (with a specific anti-codon) for a particular amino acid; and 'wobble' base-pairing, i.e. permitting non-standard base-pairing at the 3rd anti-codon position. The record is from Rfam by way of RNAcentral. Lineage: Bacteria; Bacillati; Chloroflexota; Chloroflexia; Chloroflexales; Roseiflexaceae.
GCCGAAGUGGCGAAAUAGGCAGACGCGCAGCGCUCAGAACGCUGUGAGGGGCAACUCUCUUGUGGGUUCGACUCCCGCCUUCGGCA